RNAcentral lists this non-coding RNA (116 nucleotides) under Clostridium cylindrosporum. RNAcentral describes it as "FMN sequence". It matches the Rfam family "FMN riboswitch aptamer (RFN element)". Rfam says of the family: The RFN element is a highly conserved domain that is found frequently in the 5'-untranslated regions of prokaryotic mRNAs that encode for flavin mononucleotide (FMN) biosynthesis and transport proteins. This element is a metabolite-dependent riboswitch that directly binds FMN in the absence of proteins. In Bacillus subtilis, the riboswitch most likely controls gene expression by causing premature transcription termination within the 5' untranslated region of the ribDEAHT operon and precluding access to the ribosome-binding site of ypaA mRNA. RNAcentral also lists the same sequence under 1 other name. Lineage: Bacteria; Bacillati; Bacillota; Clostridia; Eubacteriales; Clostridiaceae. The record is from RNAcentral.
AUAAAUCUUCAGGGCAGGGUUAAAUUCCCUACCGGCGGUAAAGCCCGCGAGCCUUAAUGGCAUGAUUCGGUUAGAUUCCGAAGCCGACAGUAGAGUCUGGAUGAAAGAAGAUGGAU